CAGUCAUGAUCCAGUGAUCAGAAUGUUCCAUUGUCUUUUCAUUGUUUUGAAAAUCUCACUGUUCUCCAUGCCAUCCAGUCACGAUCCAGUGAUCAGAAUGUUCCAUUGUCUUUUCAUUGUUUUGAAAAUUUCACUGUUCUCCAUGCCAUCCAGUCAUGAUCCGGUGAUCAGAAUGUUCCAUUGUCUUUUCAUUGUUUUGAAAAUCUCACUGUUCUCCAUGCCAUCCAGUCACGAUCCAGUGAUCAGAAUGUUCCAUUGUCUUUUCAUUGUUUUGAAAAUUCCACUGUUCUCCAUGCCAUCCAGUCAUGAUCCGGUGAUCAGAAUGUUCCAUUGUCUUUUCAUUGUUUUGAAAAUCUCACUGUUCUCCAUGUCAUCCAGUCAUGAUCCAGUGAUCAGAAUGUUCCAUUGUCUUUUCAUUGUUUUGAAAAUCUCACUGUUCUCCAUGUCAUCCAGUCAUGAUCCAGUGAUCAGAAUGUUCCAUUGUCUUUCAAUUGUUUUGAAAAUCUUACUGUUCUUCAUGCCAUCCAGUCACG
This is a non-coding RNA of Paramuricea clavata, 533 nucleotides long. Lineage: Eukaryota; Metazoa; Cnidaria; Anthozoa; Malacalcyonacea; Plexauridae. The record is from the annotation of a GenBank genome assembly.